RNAcentral lists this ribosomal RNA (750 nucleotides) under uncultured bacterium. Its description in RNAcentral is "bacterial SSU rRNA". It matches the Rfam family "Bacterial small subunit ribosomal RNA", at positions 28 to 776 of the family's 1533-position model. The record is from RNAcentral.
AUUGAACGCUGGCGGCAGGCUUAACACAUGCAAGUCGAACGAUGAAGAUAUAGCUUGCUAUAUCGGAUUAGUGGCGGACGGGUGAGUAACACUUAGGAAUCUACCUUUUAGCGGGGGAUAGCUCGGGGAAACCCGAAUUAAUACCGCAUAAUUUCUACGGAAUAAAGAGGGCUUUUAGCUCUCACUAGAAGAUGAGCCUAAGUAAGAUUAGCUAGUUGGUGGGGUAAAAGCCUACCAAGGCGACGAUCUUUAGCUGGUCUGAGAGGAUGAUCAGCCACACUGGGACUGAGACACGGCCCAGACUCCUACGGGAGGCAGCAGUGGGGAAUAUUGGACAAUGGGGGCAACCCUGAUCCAGCCAUGCCGCGUGUGUGAAGAAGGCCUUUUGGUUGUAAAGCACUUUAAGCAGUGAAGAAGACCUAUUGGUUAAUACCCAAUAGCGAUGACAUUAACUGCAGAAUAAGCACCGGCUAACUCUGUGCCAGCAGCCGCGGUAAUACAGAGGGUGCAAGCGUUAAUCGGAAUUACUGGGCGUAAAGCGAGCGUAGGUGGUUAAAUAAGUCAGAUGUGAAAGCCCUGGGCUCAACCUAGGAACGGCAUCUGAAACUAUUUAACUAGAGUAGGUGAGAGGGAAGUAGAAUUUCAGGUGUAGCGGUGAAAUGCGUAGAGAUCUGAAGGAAUACCGAUGGCGAAGGCAGCUUCCUGGCAUCAUACUGACACUGAGGCUCGAAAGCGUGGGUAGCAAACAGG